Long non-coding RNA from Nycticebus coucang (slow loris), 1955 nucleotides. RefSeq lists it as uncharacterized. The transcript has 4 exons. Lineage: Eukaryota; Metazoa; Chordata; Mammalia; Primates; Lorisidae. The record is from RefSeq and is a predicted model, not a curated record.
AAUUGGAUGGCACUGCAGCUGGAGGCUUUGUUCAGAAUUGAUCCUGGGGAGCUACGAACCCAAAGUUUCACAGUAGGAAGGGGGAAAAAAGAAAAGAAAACAUUUUUCCUAAUGUAACAAUGCGAAUGCUAGAAAAUGACAAGACUGAUCAGUUUUAAACCAUUCUGAAGACUGACUGAGAGUGGAAGUUGCUCAACAAAAAAAGGAACGGGUAUAUUGCAUUUCUCAAGGAGCGUGCUAAGAGGAACUUAUGAUUCCCAUGAGUAAUAAUGAAGAGUUUUGAUUGUGGGUCCUGUAAUGAAUUGUUGACACAUUCAGGACAAACUAUCUAUGGUCCAGAGAAUGAGCCUUGCAGAAAGCUGUAAAAGGGAAUUGGGGAGGGUCAUGCAGUCUGUUUUCUUGCAUCCUCCCACGGUACUGCUGCUAAGCCAUCACAGAGCCAGCACUGCUUAAUGCCUACGACAACACUAACCCCACACUCCGUGAAGCAUUUCAGUUGCCUGCUCAGAAAAUGGAGAUCAAUGAAAGGGAACAUACGGAGAGACAAGAAUUGUAUUCUGCACUGGGUAUAAUAUGUUGCUGAGACAGAAGGAAAACCCACUCCUUUGGAGGAACACAGCCUUUUCCUACAUUGCUUCCCACCACUGCUGUUGAACUCCUUGAACUUUGGACCCUGCACACCACCAACAAGAAGAUGUUAUGGAUGGGCUGUCCACCACCUGCGAGAAGAGAAAGAUCAACUGCAGUUUCUCAUGAGAUUGCCUCCUUCAUUUCAAGGAAUGACUGUUAUCAGGGUCAGAUUAAAGACAAGCCAGCUAAACAACUGUUUGGGACUAACUAUCAGGGCACUAAAAUGUCAAUAGCGUGCUAACAAAUUCACAGAAAUUCAAGGAGAGGAAAAUAUAUUUACCAGACCUUCUUCCCAGAGAGAAUUCUGUGGGUAUGGGAAGAUAUGGUUCAAUAAAUUCCUUAGGGGUGGAAAGUAGGGGAGUAAUCAGAGUAUAGAGGAGUAGAGGGUUUUUGCACUGCAGGGUUCCUGUUUUUUUCUACAAGGAUAUAUAAAUUGGGUGCUCCAACUGGGUAGUUUAUGACUGCAGAGGAUAGGUUGAGUACCCCAGUAGUCCUCCUGCUUAGUUUUUACCCAUGUGGAGCUCAUCCUUUCUUCUAGUAAAGACUGAACAAGCAGUAGUUUGAGGGAGACACCAAUUCAUUAGCCUUCUUGUCCCUUCUCUGUACUCCAGGUCUUGACAAUAAAGACAUUGGCAUAGAUAUCUAUAGUCCAGUUCUAGAAUGUGAACCAUUAGGGUACUUUGUUCACUGGGGUAAGGGUCAUUGUUAACAGACUACUUUGAGUCAAAUAGAACUUGAACUCUUUGCCUAUUUGCCUAGUGGUUAGACCCUGUCUGUGAUGAGUUAAUUAGACCACUGGAAAUACCAAGUGGAGCUGAGAACUUCAAAGGUAUUUGGCUGAAGGGUGAUAUUGCUGGUUAUAGAUGAAGCAAUCAUGACAUAUGGAACUGGUGGUCAUGUUUAAUAACUCAACAAAUAGUUAAGUCCUUACUAGAUACCGUGGAAACUUAGGAGCAAGACAGACAUGGUUCCUACCCCCAUGAAGCUUAUACUCAAACUUUCUGUUAGAUAUAAAGAGUAGUGGCUACAGAUAACAAAUGGCCACAGAGAUAUUCUUGAGACAAUUUUCUAAUUAUUAGGCUAAUUUUUUUUCUUGAGACAGAAUCUCACCUUGUCGCCCUUGGUAGAGUGCCAUGGCAUCACACAGCUGACAGCAACCUCCAACUCCUGGGCUUAGGCGGUUCUCUUGCCUCAGCCUCCCGAGUAGCUGGGACUACAGGUGCCCUCCUAUUAGGCUAAUUUCUAUUGCCCUAAUCAUGCCUAGUGACCAUGCUCUAUAGCCUGCAUUCUAUAAAUGCACUACGAACACGGGCUGUUUGCCCCAG